This is an RNA transcript of Mus musculus (house mouse), 3543 nucleotides long. It is a transcript of the gene named pitrilysin metallepetidase 1, with no coding region annotated. The transcript has 27 exons. The record is from RefSeq and is marked validated. NCBI's taxonomy places the organism in Eukaryota, Metazoa, Chordata, Mammalia, Rodentia, Muridae.
CGUGCGUCAGGUUAAAGGCAGUCCCACACUGGCCCCACGCUGGUCACAUGCCAUGUGGCGCUUCAGCGGUCGGCGGGGACUCUGCGCUGUACAGCGGCUGAGCUGCGGCAGGGUACACCACAGAGUAUGGAGGGAGAAGAGUGACCAAGCCUGUGAACGAGCUCUACAGUAUAAAGUGGGAGAGAAAAUCCACGGGUUCACUGUAAACCAGGUCACUCCUGUCCCCGAGCUGUUCCUGACAGCCGUGAAGCUCAGCCAUGACAACACGGGAGCCAGAUACCUGCACCUGGCAAGGGAAGACAAGAACAACUUAUUCAGUGUGCAGUUCCGCACAACCCCAAUGGAUAGCACUGGGGUCCCACAUGUUCUCGAGCAUACGGUCCUGUGCGGCUCUCAGAAGUACCCGUGCAGAGAUCCUUUCUUCAAAAUGCUCAACAGGUCACUGUCCACAUUUAUGAAUGCCAUGACAGCCAGCGAUUACACGAUAUAUCCGUUUUCCACUCAAAAUCCCAAAGAUUUUCAGAACCUCCUCUCCGUGUAUUUGGAUGCAACUUUCUUCCCCUGCUUGAGGGAACUGGACUUCUGGCAGGAAGGAUGGCGUCUGGAGCAUGAGAAUCCCCGAGACCCUCAGACGCCCUUGAUCUUUAAGGGGGUCGUCUUCAACGAGAUGAAAGGGGCAUUUACAGACAAUGAGAGGAUAUUCUCCCAGCACCUGCAGAACAAGCUGCUUCCUGACCACACCUACUCCGUGGUUUCUGGAGGGGACCCACUGUGCAUCCCGGAGCUCACGUGGGAACAGCUGAAACAGUUCCACGCUACUCAUUAUCACCCAAGCAAUGCCAGGUUCUUCACUUAUGGCAAUUUUCAGCUGGAAGGACACCUGAAACAAAUUCACGAAGAAGCCCUGAGUAAAUUCCAGAGAUUGGAGCAGAGUACAGCAGUGCCUGCCCAGCCGCACUGGGAUAAGCCUAGGGAAUUCCAUAUAACAUGUGGCCCAGAUUCACUAGCUACGGAGACUGCCAAGCAGACAACUGUCAGCGUUAGCUUCCUCUUACCGGAUAUCACUGACACAUUUGAAGCCUUCACCUUGAGCCUUCUGUCCUCCCUCCUGAUUGCUGGACCCAACUCCCCCUUCUACAAAGCUUUGAUCGAGUCUGGACUCGGCACAGACUUUUCUCCUGAUGUUGGAUAUAAUGGCUAUACACGGGAGGCUUACUUCAGUGUCGGGCUCCAAGGGAUCGCAGAGAAAGAUGUCAAGACGGUCAGAGAGCUCGUAGACAGGACAAUCGAAGAAGUUAUAGAGAAAGGAUUUGAAGAUGAUCGGAUUGAAGCUCUGCUUCAUAAAAUCGAAAUUCAAACGAAGCAUCAGUCAGCCAGCUUUGGCCUGACCCUGACGUCAUAUAUAGCUUCUUGCUGGAACCAUGAUGGGGACCCUGUGGAGCUCCUGCAGAUUGGAAGUCAGCUGACUAGAUUUAGGAAGUGCCUUAAGGAAAAUCCAAAAUUUUUACAAGAAAAAGUAGAACAAUAUUUUAAGAACAAUCAGCACAAGCUGACUUUAUCCAUGAAGCCAGACGACAAGUAUUAUGAAAAGCAAACUCAGAUGGAGACAGAAAAGCUGGAGCAAAAGGUGAAUUCUCUCUCCCCGGCGGACAAGCAGCAGAUCUACGAGAAAGGUUUAGAACUACAGACGCAGCAAAGUAAACAUCAAGACGCCUCCUGCCUCCCAGCAUUGAAAGUCUCGGACAUUGAGCCCUCCAUGCCUUUCACCAAGCUUGACAUCGGCCUUGCAGCUGGAGACAUCCCUGUGCAGUACUGCCCACAGCCCACCAACGGCAUGGUGUAUUUCCGAGCCUUUUCCAGUUUAAACACGCUGCCGGAGGACCUGAGGCCCAUUGUGCCUCUCUUUUGCAGCGUGCUGACCAAGCUGGGUUGUGGCAUCCUUAACUACAGAGAGCAAGCCCAACAGAUUGAGCUCAAGACAGGAGGCAUGAGUGUCACGCCCCAUGUGCUCCCUGACGACUCACAGCUGGAUACCUACGAGCAGGGUGUGUUAUUUUCAUCUCUCUGCCUGGAGCGGAACCUGCCAGACAUGAUGCAUCUGUGGAGCGAAAUAUUUAACAAUCCAUGCUUUGAAGAAGAAGAACACUUCAAAGUGUUGGUGAAGAUGACCGCUCAGGAGCUCUCCAAUGGAAUUUCAGACUCGGGGCAUCUCUAUGCAGCCCUCAGAGCAAGCAAGACACUGACACCUUCAGGGGACUUGCAGGAGACCUUCAGUGGGAUGGAUCAGGUGAAGGUGAUGAAAAGAAUUGCAGAGAUGACAGACAUCAAGCCCAUCCUGAGAAAACUGCCCCGGAUCAAGAAGUAUCUACUAAACUGUGACAACAUGAGAUGCUCAGUGAAUGCCACCCCUCAGCAGAUGCCUCAGGCAGAAAAAGAGGUGGAAAACUUCCUUAGAAAUGUUGGCCGAAGCAAAAAGGAACGGAAGCCUGUCCGCCCGCAUAUUGUCGAGAAACCCACACCCAGUGGCCCCAGUGGAGCUGCACAUGUCAGUGGGUCCCAGAUCGUCAGAAAAUUGGUGACAUGUCCUCGUACGUCAAGUUCUGCUCUCAGGAGUGCCUCCCUAGUGACACCCAUGGAGAAGGAGAUGCUGGAGUGGUGCCGCCUGCUUUUACUACCUGAGGGCCACCUUGGGCUGUACAUCCUAGUCUGACCCAUAGGCCUCUGCCCUGUAGGACCCCACCUUCAAACCCUGCCAGAUGAAGACACAUUUUGUGCUGCCCUUCCCUGUGAAUUACAUUGGCGAGUGUGUCAGGACUGUCCCGUAUGCUGAUCCAGACCAUGCCAGCCUUAAGAUCCUUGCCCGUCUAAUGACAGCUAAAUUCUUGCAUACGGAAAUUCGAGAGAAGGGGGGUGCUUAUGGUGGCGGUGCUAAACUCACCCACAGUGGGAUUUUCACGCUUUACUCUUACAGGGAUCCCAAUUCCAUAGAAACACUCCAGUCUUUUGGGAAAGCUGUAGACUGGGCUAAGUCUGGAAAGUUCACACAGCAGGACAUUGAUGAAGCCAAGCUGUCUGUUUUCUCUACUGUGGAUUCUCCUGUUGCUCCAUCCGAUAAAGGAAUGGACCACUUCUUGUAUGGCCUCUCCGAUGAGAUGAAGCAGGCAUACCGAGAACAGCUCUUUGCUGUCAACCACGACAAACUGACCUCUGUGAGCCAUAAAUACCUUGGCAUCGGGAAGAGCACACACGGCCUGGCUAUCCUCGGACCAGAGAACUCAAAAAUUGCCAAAGACCCAUCAUGGAUCAUAAAAUAAUGAGUGCCACAUAUCUUUGAGUAUGUGUAAGAAACCAGAGGCUCUUAACAGCUGAGCCUCUGAGCUAAAUUUAAUGCGGAUGAUCACAAGAGUUACUAGUUUCUUUGUUCGGAAAAUCAGUUAGCCAUAUAAAAACCAACCAAAGGUGUUUAUUGACUGGCAAAAACUCUGAAGGAAAUUCUGAGACCAUGAAGAAAUCAUUAAUCAUGCAUUAAAUGACAGCAGUGAG